AAACGCGAAGAAUGAAAUGAAAAAGAGGGCGAAAAAAGAACGCGGAGGGCGCGAAAGAGAUGGCGGGACAUCCAGUGAAGGUGGAUUGUCACUCGAAAACAACAACGAAAAAGCUUUUCCUUGUGCUUAUCCCAAUAUCUGCGAUACAUUCAAUGACUGAAGCACCCGUUUGGAUAACGAUCUCGGCAAGUCACUACUUUCGAGUCUUCACCGUACACACCUCCCAGAGCGGACAUUAAACCGCAGCUCACAAUGAACGCGCUUUGUUGUCGUCGGCGUUAUCAAUUAAAUGUAAAGCGAGGCGCAGCGCAAACGAAAUGGAAAUGAAAAUGGCAGCCGUGAGAUUCGCCAGAUACCGCACCACUCACACAGAUACUUUUCACAGAUACUUUAUGUAUAGAGUGCACACGUUUACAAAAGUUUGUUAUUAUUAUAUUUGCGAUGGGCGGAAAUGCCAAUUGAAGCUACCUUUAACAAAGCCCCACGAAGACGCCCGCCCCCGGGGUUAACUGAUGGACUUAUGGAUCGGCAGACGGACGCUCGGUGGGGCGGACGGCCGGACGGAGGGGGGAGUGGCGGACGGACGGACUGUGUGCAUGACUCAAGUGUAUUUCAGGGGAGCCACUCGAGCCAAAGUUGAAAAUUGAUUGAUUCCACUAAGCGAAUCGCCGCGCACAUGGAAAUGGAAGCCAAAACCACUCGAGUGUUCAAGGUACAGUCUAACCUCCGUGGCAUUAUGGUCGAUAAGCCACGCACACGUGCGUUCUACGCCCAUCCCGCUCGUCCCCUUCGCUACCACAUGUUGCUUAAUUAAUUAAAUUUCUUCUGAAUUUCUAAAUGUAAGAGGAGGAACAAAGUGCACGCAAAAAAAUUCAUUUGGUUUGGUAAAUAUGUACAAAAAUUGUAGAUCAAACUUCAAUUUCAGAUAAAGUAUAAUGCUUAAGACCUA
This is a long non-coding RNA of Drosophila ficusphila, 949 nucleotides long. RefSeq lists it as uncharacterized. The transcript is spliced from 3 exons. NCBI's taxonomy places the organism in Eukaryota, Metazoa, Arthropoda, Insecta, Diptera, Drosophilidae. The record is from RefSeq and is a predicted model, not a curated record.